UAUUAAAUAAAAAUAUUAAUUUGAAAGCAUAAAACAAAAGAGUUUGGCGGUGUUUCAUUCGAUUAGGGGAUCCUGUAGUUUAAAUUGAUAAUCCACAGUUUAUAGGUCUAAUAUUUGAAAAUGUCAAUAAAUGUAUUGCCGUAUUAUAAUUCUCUAUAGAGGAAUUAUAUAAUCUAUAUUUGUUAUAUAAAUCACAGGUAAAAUAUUGUUUAUAUAUUAGUAUUAAUGGGAUACUUUAAUUUAAAGAUAUUAUUAAUACUAGAAUAAAGGUAUUAAAAAAUAGGACUUAAUAGUAAUUUAUCUUAUUAAGGUUAAUGAAUUAGAACUUGAAAUAAGC
Molecule: ribosomal RNA, 337 nt
Filed under: Haemadipsa sylvestris (Indian leech)
Lineage: Eukaryota; Metazoa; Annelida; Clitellata; Hirudinida; Haemadipsidae
Description: partial 12S ribosomal RNA
Source: RNAcentral